This 2904-nucleotide ribosomal RNA is filed under the name Escherichia coli. RNAcentral describes it as "23S ribosomal RNA". It matches the Rfam family "Bacterial large subunit ribosomal RNA". The record is from RNAcentral. Lineage: Bacteria; Pseudomonadati; Pseudomonadota; Gammaproteobacteria; Enterobacterales; Enterobacteriaceae.
GGUUAAGCGACUAAGCGUACACGGUGGAUGCCCUGGCAGUCAGAGGCGAUGAAGGACGUGCUAAUCUGCGAUAAGCGUCGGUAAGGUGAUAUGAACCGUUAUAACCGGCGAUUUCCGAAUGGGGAAACCCAGUGUGUUUCGACACACUAUCAUUAACUGAAUCCAUAGGUUAAUGAGGCGAACCGGGGGAACUGAAACAUCUAAGUACCCCGAGGAAAAGAAAUCAACCGAGAUUCCCCCAGUAGCGGCGAGCGAACGGGGAGGAGCCCAGAGCCUGAAUCAGUGUGUGUGUUAGUGGAAGCGUCUGGAAAGGCGCGCGAUACAGGGUGACAGCCCCGUACACAAAAAUGCACAUGCUGUGAGCUCGAUGAGUAGGGCGGGACACGUGGUAUCCUGUCUGAAUAUGGGGGGACCAUCCUCCAAGGCUAAAUACUCCUGACUGACCGAUAGUGAACCAGUACCGUGAGGGAAAGGCGAAAAGAACCCCGGCGAGGGGAGUGAAAAAGAACCUGAAACCGUGUACGUACAAGCAGUGGGAGCACGCUUAGGCGUGUGACUGCGUACCUUUUGUAUAAUGGGUCAGCGACUUAUAUUCUGUAGCAAGGUUAACCGAAUAGGGGAGCCGAAGGGAAACCGAGUCUUAACUGGGCGUUAAGUUGCAGGGUAUAGACCCGAAACCCGGUGAUCUAGCCAUGGGCAGGUUGAAGGUUGGGUAACACUAACUGGAGGACCGAACCGACUAAUGUUGAAAAAUUAGCGGAUGACUUGUGGCUGGGGGUGAAAGGCCAAUCAAACCGGGAGAUAGCUGGUUCUCCCCGAAAGCUAUUUAGGUAGCGCCUCGUGAAUUCAUCUCCGGGGGUAGAGCACUGUUUCGGCAAGGGGGUCAUCCCGACUUACCAACCCGAUGCAAACUACGAAUACCGGAGAAUGUUAUCACGGGAGACACACGGCGGGUGCUAACGUCCGUCGUGAAGAGGGAAACAACCCAGACCGCCAGCUAAGGUCCCAAAGUCAUGGUUAAGUGGGAAACGAUGUGGGAAGGCCCAGACAGCCAGGAUGUUGGCUUAGAAGCAGCCAUCAUUUAAAGAAAGCGUAAUAGCUCACUGGUCGAGUCGGCCUGCGCGGAAGAUGUAACGGGGCUAAACCAUGCACCGAAGCUGCGGCAGCGACGCUGAUGCGUUGUUGGGUAGGGGAGCGUUCUGUAAGCCUGCGAAGGUGUGCUGUGAGGCAUGCUGGAGGUAUCAGAAGUGCGAAUGCUGACAUAAGUAACGAUAAAGCGGGUGAAAAGCCCGCUCGCCGGAAGACCAAGGGUUCCUGUCCAACGUUAAUCGGGGCAGGGUGAGUCGACCCCUAAGGCGAGGCCGAAAGGCGUAGUCGAUGGGAAACAGGUUAAUAUUCCUGUACUUGGUGUUACUGCGAAGGGGGGACGGAGAAGGCUAUGUUGGCCGGGCGACGGUUGUCCCGGUUUAAGCGUGUAGGCUGGUUUUCCAGGCAAAUCCGGAAAAUCAAGGCUGAGGCGUGAUGACGAGGCACUACGGUGCUGAAGCAACAAAUGCCCUGCUUCCAGGAAAAGCCUCUAAGCAUCAGGUAACAUCAAAUCGUACCCCAAACCGACACAGGUGGUCAGGUAGAGAAUACCAAGGCGCUUGAGAGAACUCGGGUGAAGGAACUAGGCAAAAUGGUGCCGUAACUUCGGGAGAAGGCACGCUGAUAUGUAGGUGAAGUCCCUCGCGGAUGGAGCUGAAAUCAGUCGAAGAUACCAGCUGGCUGCAACUGUUUAUUAAAAACACAGCACUGUGCAAACACGAAAGUGGACGUAUACGGUGUGACGCCUGCCCGGUGCCGGAAGGUUAAUUGAUGGGGUCAGCGCAAGCGAAGCUCUUGAUCGAAGCCCCGGUAAACGGCGGCCGUAACUAUAACGGUCCUAAGGUAGCGAAAUUCCUUGUCGGGUAAGUUCCGACCUGCACGAAUGGCGUAAUGAUGGCCAGGCUGUCUCCACCCGAGACUCAGUGAAAUUGAACUCGCUGUGAAGAUGCAGUGUACCCGCGGCAAGACGGAAAGACCCCGUGAACCUUUACUAUAGCUUGACACUGAACAUUGAGCCUUGAUGUGUAGGAUAGGUGGGAGGCUUUGAAGUGUGGACGCCAGUCUGCAUGGAGCCGACCUUGAAAUACCACCCUUUAAUGUUUGAUGUUCUAACGUUGACCCGUAAUCCGGGUUGCGGACAGUGUCUGGUGGGUAGUUUGACUGGGGCGGUCUCCUCCUAAAGAGUAACGGAGGAGCACGAAGGUUGGCUAAUCCUGGUCGGACAUCAGGAGGUUAGUGCAAUGGCAUAAGCCAGCUUGACUGCGAGCGUGACGGCGCGAGCAGGUGCGAAAGCAGGUCAUAGUGAUCCGGUGGUUCUGAAUGGAAGGGCCAUCGCUCAACGGAUAAAAGGUACUCCGGGGAUAACAGGCUGAUACCGCCCAAGAGUUCAUAUCGACGGCGGUGUUUGGCACCUCGAUGUCGGCUCAUCACAUCCUGGGGCUGAAGUAGGUCCCAAGGGUAUGGCUGUUCGCCAUUUAAAGUGGUACGCGAGCUGGGUUUAGAACGUCGUGAGACAGUUCGGUCCCUAUCUGCCGUGGGCGCUGGAGAACUGAGGGGGGCUGCUCCUAGUACGAGAGGACCGGAGUGGACGCAUCACUGGUGUUCGGGUUGUCAUGCCAAUGGCACUGCCCGGUAGCUAAAUGCGGAAGAGAUAAGUGCUGAAAGCAUCUAAGCACGAAACUUGCCCCGAGAUGAGUUCUCCCUGACCCUUUAAGGGUCCUGAAGGAACGUUGAAGACGACGACGUUGAUAGGCCGGGUGUGUAAGCGCAGCGAUGCGUUGAGCUAACCGGUACUAAUGAACCGUGAGGCUUAACCUU